UUUUGUUUGGUUUGUAUCUGUUGUGAAAAGAGUUCCAUGGUAUUUAUUGAACUUGCCACUUAGCUGAGGAUGACCUUGGACGCACGAGGUCUUCUUAUGUCUACCUCCUAAGUGCUGUGAUGACAAAUGUGUCACUACCAAACCCAGCCCUGUUGACUAUUUAAAAGUAUAGAAUUCAGGGACUGGGAAAGCGGCUCAGUGGGUAAGGGCCUGAGUUCUGUCUCCAGCACCUGUGUAGAUGGUGAACAGGCAGGGUGGCCUACCUGGAAUCCCAUGUGCUCCGGAGGUGGCAACAGGGGACCCCAGAGUAAGCUGGCUCCUGGCAGAGAACCAAUGAAGAAGACAUCCAAUAUUGACUUCUUGCACACAUGUAUGUAUGAAUACCUGCACCCACAUACACACAUACAUGCAUGCUUGUGGAGGUCAGGGGACAGCUUCUGGGAGUCUGUUCUCUCUUUCUAUCAUGUAAGUCCCAUGGAACUCAGGUCACCAGCGAGCAAGAAGGCAGCAGCACCUCUACCCGGCUGGGCUGUCUCCUAACCCCUGUCCAAAACAUUCCGUAAGGUAAUGGUCCAACUGCUUGAGGCCCAUAUGUGUGUGUUGGUGAUCCGCCCACCUAUGACAGGAAGACUGGUCAUUGUAUGCACAGUGGGGGACUCGGGCAGUGUCUGUCUGAUCAUCUUACUUGCUGUGACAUCACUGCCCACGGAUCAGAGGCCCUCAGUGCUGGUUAGUGAAUUUCAUCCCAUCCCACCUUUCUCCAUGACAUGCUUCUCUUUCUCUUGGCUGCAUGGAGACUUGGCUUGUGUGGGGAUGGCCCUCUUGCCUCCUGUUAUUCGCUUUGUAACCCAUGUGUUGCCUCCUGGAGUUUUAUGUGGUGACCAGUUACCAUAUCUGGGUAUCUCAGUGCUCACCUGGAGGUCAGAUGUGGCAUCUCAGUGACCGGCAUUAUUGAUGCUUCCACCAGUCCCUCCUUGGGCUCAGCCUGAGCUUGUGUUAUAGCUGGCACCUUAGGAGAGCUCCAUUAUGCCAGCCUGGGCUUCAGGUGGCCUGGGACAGGACUUUUCACUCUCCCUUCUCCUAUCCUAUGCCUCACUUCCUCCCUAUACUGGUUCAUCCCAGUCUGUGCCAGCAACUUCUGCAAGAGCUACAAGCAUCCCACGCAAGACUGUAUCUCUGACAGCAUGAGAAAGAACAAAAGGAGACACUAGUUGCUUAGCCUCAUUCCGCCCUCUAUCUUUAACUGUCCGUAAAAAGGGACAUUAUCUGGGUCCCUUUGGUCCUCAUCACACGUUCCUGUUGCCCAGGAGGGAGGAACCAGGAAAAGCAAAGCCAGACGUGGGCAGUAUCCAGGCUGGGGCAAGGAUGACCCUCAUGGGCUGAUGGAGGCAGGGAGGUCUGGAGUAGACACACAGCUGACUGCAGGCGCCUGUGCUUCAUGAGGUUGGCCGAAAGUCACCACAGGAGUCUCACCCUGAAGACCCAUCCCAGGGACAUCUUCUCUGUAUCCUGGUUCAGCUGGGAUCCAGUGAGAUCCGUACCCAUAUCUGCCAGCAGAGGGCGGAAGUGUCUCAGCUGAGCCCGGGCACUCCAGCCUUGCUGGAGGGAGCCAGUGAGAGUGUCUACACUGCAUGGAAAUCCUGGGGCACCUGCCAGAAACUUUCCUGGGACUCUCUCUGAUGCCUCAUCACUCAGGAGGAGUGAGAAGAUCUGUGGCCCUCAGGAUUCUCACUGGGCACCCUAAACAGAGUAGAUGGGAUAAGCAAUAAUCUCAGAAUGCCAGGUGGAGAGAGGCUCCAGUCCAGCAUGGGCAUGUCAGACCCUGGUGCACAGGCUGGGUAGGCCCCAGAGUGCAGAAACUCCACUGUCCUGCAGAAAUCUCACAAGAGCCUCCUUUCCCAGCUUCCGAUUGGCCUAGCCAUGCCGUGGAGUCCCUGAAGCCUUAUUCCCCUGCGGCUAAUAGAGGAUGUGUCCCUCGGGCAAAUAUACUCUAACUAGGAUCUGGGGCAGUGUUCUGCUCACCAGCAUCCACCAGGCAUCUGUGUUGGCAUGUCUGGGCUAGAUGGAGCCUAGAUGUAAAAACCGAUUCUGGGCUUGCCAGGGUAGACCUAUUAGGAGGGUCCCAGAGCUACACAGACGGCCAAGUAUUCAUGUGAGUCUCAGGGGACCCCAGCAAGGUCUCAUUGGAUGGCUGUCUCUGUAUUCAGCCCCCAUGUCAUCCCCUCUCACUCUUACAUUUCUCGCUCUGCUGGGAAGCUUGGGGAAGGCCUUCCGGAACACCAACAACAGACGCCCCCAAGCUUCUCACACAUGGGAAUUCUGCGCUGGCAGCUUUAGCUGAGAUGCCCACUUGGGUGCCCAGCACUUGGAUACAGCAGCUGCUGGCCUGAGGUCCUUGAUAUCUAGGGCCCCCUCUGACUCAUGUGGAAGCCCUUCCUUUGCAGUUGGUGUCUUCUAUCUUCAUCCCAUUUUGACAUGUGAGAAGCACAUGCUAAAAUCACCUCCCCUGCCACCCUAUCCCUGGUUUCUUCUAAGACCUGAGUUCACAGAUUCAGAGCAAAACCCACUGUCUUUUACUGGCUUGCCAGACUGAGGCCAUAGAGCCUGGAGUCCACAUGUCCAAGGGUCAGAUGGGCCAUGGAACACAGCGAGAACAGCUGUACAGUGGGAGCUAUGGCCUCGCAAGCUCAGCACAUUGCAUGUACAGUCGGGCUCUGACCUUUACAGCAAGCUGUGGUGUGAGCCCUUUCCUCCUCCACACAGAUGGAUAACAGGGCUUCAAGAGCUGAGAAAUCUGACCCAGAACCAUAAUCAAGUGCUCUGCUUUGGUAAUGGCAUCAUCCCCCCCCCCCUAGAACACAGCUAAAUCUGGUUUUGAAAUGCAUCAGCCGCCUGUCUGUGCUUGGGUUUUGUUGUAGUUAAACCAUUAGUGUAGGUUUUUAUUCUGGGGAGACAUAUAUAGUGCUAGGCUUAUGCAUCUCAUCAUUUCUAAUGCACAGCUGAGGGUACUCAGUUCCUGUUGUGAAACCCUCACCACCCUUUAGCUCCAGAGUGAUCACCUUCCCUCACUGAGGCUCUAUCCCCACUAGACACCAGUCUCCAACACCUUCUCCCUAGAGCCUGGACACCAGUCUCCAUCACCCUCUCCCUAGAGCCUGGACACCAGUCACCACACCCUCUCCCUAGAGCCUGGACAUCAGUCUCCAUCACCCUCUCCUAGAGCCUGGACAUCAGUCUCCAUCACCCUCUCCUAGAGCCUGGACACCAGUCUC
This 3272-nucleotide long non-coding RNA is filed under the name Cricetulus griseus (Chinese hamster). Its description in RNAcentral is "lncRNA (ENSCGRG00015033065.1)". The record is from RNAcentral. Lineage: Eukaryota; Metazoa; Chordata; Mammalia; Rodentia; Cricetidae.